Molecule: non-coding RNA, 112 nt
Organism: Acanthosepion pharaonis
Lineage: Eukaryota; Metazoa; Mollusca; Cephalopoda; Sepiida; Sepiidae
Source: the annotation of a GenBank genome assembly
ACGGGCACAUCACGCUGAAACACCGAUUCCCAUACGAUCACGGAUUUUAAGCAAAGUUCAGCUUGGUCAGUGCCUUGAUGGAUGACCACUUGGGAAUACCAGGCGAUGUAAG